GGCCCCGCACAAGCGGCGGAGCAUGCGGAUUAAUUCGAUGCAACGCGAAGAACCUUACCAAGGCUUGAAAUAUGGGGAAAUCCGGUAGAGAUAUCGGGUCGGUUUUGUCCGGUCCCAUACAGGUGGUGCAUGGUUGUCGUCAGCUCGUGUCGUGAGAUGUUGGGUUAAGUCCCGCAACGAGCGCAACCCUUGUCCUAUGUUGCCAGCGGGGUUAUGCCGGGGACUCAUGGGAGACUGCCGGGGUCAACUCGGAGGAAGGUGGGGAUGACGUCAAAUCAUCAUGCCCCUUAUGUCUUGGGCUUCACGCAUGCUACAAUGGCCGGUACAAAGGGUUGCGAUAUCGUAAGGUGGAGCGAAUCCCAAAAAGCCGGUACUCAGUUCGGAUUGGGGUCUGCAACUCGACCUCAUGAAGUUGGAGUCGCUAGUAAUCGCAGAUCAGCAACGCUG
RNAcentral lists this ribosomal RNA (447 nucleotides) under uncultured Actinomycetes bacterium. Its description in RNAcentral is "bacterial SSU rRNA". It matches the Rfam family "Bacterial small subunit ribosomal RNA", at positions 917 to 1359 of the family's 1533-position model. The record is from RNAcentral. Lineage: Bacteria; Bacillati; Actinomycetota; Actinomycetes.